This is a long non-coding RNA of Lepidothrix coronata (blue-crowned manakin), 424 nucleotides long. RefSeq lists it as uncharacterized. The record is from RefSeq and is a predicted model, not a curated record. NCBI's taxonomy places the organism in Eukaryota, Metazoa, Chordata, Aves, Passeriformes, Pipridae. The transcript has 3 exons.
GCUCUCCCUUGGGAGUGAGCUAGCUUCGCAUCAAGGACAACGUUGCCUUUUGGUGGGGCCGCCUGCAAUUUGUGAACUUACUGACCCUCCAAGGAUGCAGCUUCUGCUAUGGUUGCAAGAAUUGAAAGAAGCUGGGAUCUCAGAUGUUUAUUGGAGUGAAGUGAUGACAUACAACAUCCGCACAAAUGCUAGAAGGAGGAUUCAGGCACAGCAAGCACAGAAGGUGGCUUUGUAUGAAGGAGAACAAAAACAAGGUCUCUGAGGCCAUUGUCGAGCUGCUGCUAUGAUUUAUUUUAGUGCUGAAAGUCUCUAAACAAUGAAGCUGCCAACUUUUUCUGCAAGCAUUUAUUUAACACUCCCAAUAUCAGAAAAUUAGUCCUUGUUAUUUACUCUGAAUUGUAGGUAAAGGAUUUGGAUGUGGAAA